UCUAUAGGUUAUUUUUCGAAGAUUGGAGGGUCAUGGCAGCAAUUUUGCUAUACUUGCAGGAUUAGGGUUUUAGAUCUAGGUGUCUUUGCCGAACGCUAUUUAAACGCCUUGCAGGAUGCCCAAAACUCGUUCCGCAUCGCUCUUCUCACUCCAAAAUCUCCUCUAUGGGUUAUUUUGCAGGUAUUAUGCCUAAUUUUGUUGCGGCUGAUCCGCGGAUCUUAGUCUUAAUCGUGUAUGCACUCGCAAUAUAUCUUCGUCGGAUGUAAAUGGUCGAUCUGUUGGUGACGAAUGAUGAGAUCCAGCCGGAGGAAAUAGGAAGAAAUCAGGUAUUCUAUGGAGGCACAUGCUUGGCCUUUGAUUUAAUCUUGCUUUUUUUUCGGCCGCGGGCAGUGUCAAAAAUUGUACCCAACCUGAAAUAUUUCUUCAAUCUGUGAAACACAUGAAUUCCAAGACCCGCACUCUGAUUAACAUAGAAGCUGCUUAGAAUGUGAAACAGGACCCAGGCCGAGUAUUGACGAGGGCUACCAAUUCUAAAUCACAGGAUGCUCCCUUGCCAACGUUUAAUUUCAUUCGGAUGUACAUAUGCAAAUUGGACAAAGUUAUGUUAUGUACAUAUGCAAAUUGGACAAAGUUAUGUUAUGUACAUAUGCUCCCUUGCCGGAUGUUAGCCUACAAGCCUUCAUUCCAUACACGUUUUUGUCGACCUUGGACCAUUUACAAAUAAAGUGAAUUUGUACCCACCUUGGACUUGUGAAUAACAAAAUAAACCAUUUGAAUGUCAA
This is a long non-coding RNA of Cucurbita pepo subsp. pepo (vegetable marrow), 782 nucleotides long. RefSeq lists it as uncharacterized. NCBI's taxonomy places the organism in Eukaryota, Viridiplantae, Streptophyta, Magnoliopsida, Cucurbitales, Cucurbitaceae. The record is from RefSeq and is a predicted model, not a curated record.